CGGCAGGGAGGGGCGGUGGGAGCAGGGGACCAGUGGCAACUGCGGGCAGCCGUGAGCGCGCACAGGUGUGCAGAGCUAAAUAAGAGGCUGGAGAAGUCCACAAGCAGCCUUGGAAGCUGGACUUUAAUGGAAGAAAGAAUCAAAGGGUUGUGGGUUCCCACCCACAGCAGCCAACAUAGGAGCUCAGGUGUCCAGGUAGAAGGAUGAGAGAGGACCAAUUUGGCUUGGAGCCUCAGAACCAAGGAAGAGCCCUGAGCUGGCCUAGUGCUGGAGUCGGAAACAGAGCCAGCCCUGCAGAAGAACCAGAAAAAGGGUUGGUGCCAUGGCUCACCCUG
Cercocebus atys (sooty mangabey) is the source of this 335-nucleotide long non-coding RNA. RefSeq lists it as uncharacterized. NCBI's taxonomy places the organism in Eukaryota, Metazoa, Chordata, Mammalia, Primates, Cercopithecidae. The record is from RefSeq and is a predicted model, not a curated record. The transcript has 4 exons.